RNAcentral lists this long non-coding RNA (3395 nucleotides) under Androctonus crassicauda. Lineage: Eukaryota; Metazoa; Arthropoda; Arachnida; Scorpiones; Buthidae. The record is from RNAcentral.
GCGUAUCCUAUACAUUGGACUAUAGUAAUAAUAGUAGUCUGUAGGCGCAGCAUAUAUAUAUAUAUAUAUAUAUAUAUUGGUGAGAGCAACCAGGUGGUUCGUGCCCUUUGGUUUGUUAGAAAAAUAUGGAAGUAUUAAUGGCAAUCGAUAAGGUUUUUGUUACUGUAGUUGUUUAAGUCUUUUUCUCAUUUUCUUCUUGGUUCUUAAAUUAUUCUCUGGAAUGCAACUUUCAUUUAGAAUAUUGCAUUCAAUCUUACAACAAGAGAAUUAUGGCAUUUUUACCAAGCGGUUACUGUAACUCUGUUUAAACGAUUCUUUUCGGAUUUGUGUAAUUAAUAUUUAGGAUUUUAAUAUCUAUUAUCAGUUUGUUCGAUCGUUAAAUUAAUAAAAUUAAAAAACAAAAACAAGCGAUAAGUAUCGAAUAACACCAAGAAUAAAACUGAUAAUAUUAGUAGAUCAUUUAUAUGUCUAAAGUGUUUAUGUAACAAGUUAAAAUUUUAAUUAUAUACUCUAAAAUAUUUGGAAAUCUAGUAGGAAUAGAAGACACUUAUAAAAUUUUAAUUGUUUGCCCGCAUCAAUUAAAUUCCUCAUAGUCUAGUGAACAUGAAUGGAAUACUUUAAAGUAAAGACGUACGAUUAGGAAACAAACGUUUAAAAUAUCCAAGGGGAAAAAACGGAAGAAAAAAACUGAAUGAAAGAAUUGGUUCAGAAGGAGGAGUCAUUCAUUCAUUCUCUAUUUUUAACUUGUCGUUUCUUAUUUAGAUGUCACAAUCAUUGAACGUCUGUCUUUAUUAGAGGACAUGAAAGCUUCGGAAAAAUUCCCAAAGCAUCUUUUUUCCCUUUAUUGGAAAACGAUUUUCUUUCGGAAUUGAAGAAAACGUAAUGUGAUCUUAGAUACACCGUUGCGAAAUUGGUUAAACAAAACAGAAAGUGUAAAAUGUCUUCUUUUUUUCCCCUCCUCCUUCUCGGCUUGAUCUCCUAAUCUAAACUUGUUAGACUCUUUUUCGACUAAGUACGGACGAUAUAUUUUUUAUUUUUUUCAAACGAAUAAAUCUAAAAUAAGCUCCUUAUUUUUAUUUCGAACUUUUAAAAAAUUCUCGAAAGGUUUCUGCCAUUAGUGAAGGCAUUCGUGUUAUUUUAAUUAUUUUAUUGCGGGUCGAGGCAUUUACAUUCUGAAGAUAUUUUUAACUCUUCUUGCUCCCUUUGAGCUAAUUAUCGGACGAUGUUCUUUCUUCGUUACUAUAUAACUUGUAACAUUUAAGUGGUUGAAAAAAAAAACCAUAUUAAUACACGCUUAAUUUAUGGUUUUAAUGCACCGUCGGAUAUAUUUUAUCAAGGAAUACAGCCGGGUAGAAUUAACAGUAAAUUAAUAGAGUAGUGCAUCCGAAUACUGGAAUAUGAUCUCAUGCGCUAUUACCACCAAGAGACGUAGAGAGAGUUGUUUCUAUACUUUUUACAGCCCUAUAAAAAAUAGUCAAGGUAUAGGUAUUAAAUAUUCUUUAUGUAACACGUGGAUAUAUCUUCGUUGUUUCGGUCGUUAAAACAUGUCUUUGGAGGAAGAUAAUUCGAUUGGGAAAGUGUCACGUAUUCUGCCAGUCGAAUUAACCAAAGUGAAAUCUUCCUUAUUCGCCUCUUUUUUUUUUUUUCUCCUCUUCCGAAGCCAAUAAGCAAGUUUAGGUGUAAUAAUGUUUAUUUUCGCUUUUAAAUCAUUUUAACUUAAUCCAGAUUCUCGGGAGAGUUACCAGAUCAGCGGAAGAUUUAAUUUAAUAGAAGAUAAGUUUUAUUCCAUUCUCAAUUAACACUCCUCAUCCUGACUUCGCUGGCGUGGAAUUUAAUGUUAAAUUGCACACCGCGGUUUAAAUUAAUCCGACUGAUGCAAUGAAGAAGUUACAGAUACCUUAAAAGGGAUAUAUUCGUCGUUGUUUCUUGUAGGAUAACAGGAGGAAAAACGACAUUGUCGAUAUAACAUUGAUGUAGCCAUGUAACACCUGACAAUGAGUAGAAGAAACCAUCAAAAGUGAAUUAAAAACACAUAACUUCUGACCUACUAACAGGGUACGGUUGCUGUUAAAAAUUCGAUCAAGAAGUAGUAGGCGGUUGGGUUAAGAGUUUUUUACGGAUCCCGUGCACACUCUGUUUCUUUGCUUAAUUGGAUUUUUACCUUUACUUUAGUGACAAGGUUGUUUAAGUGACCAAAUUUUACGAUCCAAUAGUAACUUGUCAGCCUCCGACUUUCAUCCAUUCCAUCCGUUCCACUUCCUCAUCUUCACCGAAAAGCAUACAGAAAAGGAGGUUUUUUGUUAGAACCGGUUUCUUUUUUAAGUCCUUGGACGUCAACGGAUGAUGGAGAAACAAUAAAGGCUAAAAGGUGAACAGUAAUUCAUGCCACGGUUAUGUUAGACCAAUCGUGAUUUGAAUCUGAGCGUGUGAAAAUAAAGUAGAAACUCAUCGAUGAUACUUCUAACAUUAUCACGAGUUCUACAACACUAGAGGCCCCGAAGCCCGUACCACAAGCACCACACCCACAGCAGCAGGUAGGCCUCAACAAUUAGAAAUUUGUUUUUCAUUGUCCACCCUUUAUGUUAUCUAGAUCCAUAAAAAAAAAAAGAAAAACAAGUUUUAAAUUUUAUAAUAAUAAAAAAUGUAAAUAGAAGUUUUAAAACUUUUGUAUAUAAAGGCAUUUAAUUUGCAAUGAACACGGAUACUGUAUAACUGAAAAGUGAUAAUUGAGAUUGAUGUUAGCUGAAAUAACAACAUUAGGGUCCUUCAACAACUUCAAACACAAUCAAACUGGUCAAACAAUCAUUUUACAGCUCUGCAGCUACGAAAGCAGAUCAAUACAAAGUCGAAUCGACAAAGAAAUCAUAUUUGGAGGAAAUGGCCAGAGCAGAUUUGACAGUUUUUCAACCGGCAUUCUUGUUACUGUCUUCACUAGGAAGUUGAUAAAAGAAGGCGGAUUCUGGUAAUGAGAAGAAGCUACGGACAGUCGAGUGAUUGAACGAUUGUCUCCGGGGAUGUCCAGUAAUCGGUGCCUCAUUAAACCCAGAGGAAAGCUCACUAAAGUGAAGACAGUAGGAUGAAGUUGUCCGAGAUUCCACUACUACCAUUUAACACUCUCUGCCUUCCUUUCAAAGUCACAUUCUAAUUCUGAUACCUUAAAGAUAAUCCCGUGUGGUAGAUGUACUGAUCCUCUUAACGUGACAGGGUUAUAUGUCAGUUAGACAUCAAGACAUGCUCACUAACCGUUUGAUAAUAGCUUUCGAUCGUUAAGGUGCGAUUGUGGCUGAGUACUGCAGAGAAGCUGCUUCUCAUUUGCCCUUUUCUCUCUCUCUCUCUCUUUUUUUUUUAUCUUAAAUUCGAUUUACUAAAACUACUAAUACUGCAAUUAAUUGGAC